RNAcentral lists this ribosomal RNA (303 nucleotides) under uncultured bacterium. Its description in RNAcentral is "partial 16S ribosomal RNA". It matches the Rfam family "Bacterial small subunit ribosomal RNA", at positions 507 to 807 of the family's 1533-position model. The record is from RNAcentral.
AGCAGUAGCCGCGGGAAUACGUAGGUGGCAAGCGUUGUCCGGAAUUAUUGGGCGUAAAGGGCUCGCAGGCGGUUUCUUAAGUCUGAUGCGAAAGCCCCCGGCUCAACCGGGGAGGGUCAUUGGAAACUGGGAAACUUGAGUGCAGAAGAGGAGAGUGGAAUUCCACGUGUAGCAGUGAAAUGCGUAGAGAUGUGGAGGGACACCAGUGGCGAAGGCGACUCUCUGGUCUGCAACUGACGCUGAGGAGCGAAAGCGUGGGGAGCGAACAGGAUUAGAUACCCCCGUAGUCCCUGUCUCUUAUAC